This 486-nucleotide ribosomal RNA is filed under the name uncultured bacterium. RNAcentral describes it as "partial 16S ribosomal RNA". It matches the Rfam family "Bacterial small subunit ribosomal RNA", at positions 30 to 507 of the family's 1533-position model. The record is from RNAcentral.
AUUGAACGCUGGCGGCAUGCCUUACACAUGCAAGUCGAACGGCAGCACGGGUGCUUGCACCUGGUGGCGAGUGGCGAACGGGUGAGUAAUACAUCGGAACAUGUCCUGUAGUGGGGGAUAGCCCGGCGAAAGCCGGAUUAAUACCGCAUACGAUCUACGGAUGAAAGCGGGGGACCUUCGGGCCUCGCGCUAUAGGGUUGGCCGAUGGCUGAUUAGCUAGUUGGUGGGGUAAAGGCCUACCAAGGCGACGAUCAGUAGCUGGUCUGAGAGGACGACCAGCCACACUGGGACUGAGACACGGCCCAGACUCCUACGGGAGGCAGCAGUGGGGAAUUUUGGACAAUGGGCGAAAGCCUGAUCCAGCAAUGCCGCGUGUGUGAAGAAGGCCUUCGGGUUGUAAAGCACUUUUGUCCGGAAAGAAAUGCUUGGCUCUAAUACAGUCGGGGGAUGACGGUACCGGAAGAAUAAGCACCGGCUAACUACGUG